Molecule: ribosomal RNA, 483 nt
Filed under: uncultured bacterium
Lineage: Bacteria
Description: partial 16S ribosomal RNA
Rfam family: Bacterial small subunit ribosomal RNA
Source: RNAcentral
UUGAACGCUGGCGGCAGGCCUAACACAUGCAAGUCGAGCGGAUGAAGGGAGCUUGCUCCUGGAUUCAGCGGCGGACGGGUGAGUAAUGCCUAGGAAUCUGCCUGGUAGUGGGGGAUAACGUCCGGAAACGGGCGCUAAUACCGCAUACGUCCUGAGGGAGAAAGUGGGGGAUCUUCGGACCUCACGCUAUCAGAUGAGCCUAGGUCGGAUUAGCUAGUUGGUGGGGUAAAGGCCUACCAAGGCGACGAUCCGUAACUGGUCUGAGAGGAUGAUCAGUCACACUGGAACUGAGACACGGUCCAGACUCCUACGGGAGGCAGCAGUGGGGAAUAUUGGACAAUGGGCGAAAGCCUGAUCCAGCCAUGCCGCGUGUGUGAAGAAGGUCUUCGGAUUGUAAAGCACUUUAAGCUGGGAGGAAGGGCAGUAAGUUAAUACCUUGCUGUUUUGACGUUACCAACAGAAUAAGCACGGGCUAACUUCGUG